RNAcentral lists this long non-coding RNA (540 nucleotides) under Setaria viridis. Its description in RNAcentral is "long non-coding RNA (SVIR_LNC005720)". The record is from RNAcentral. Lineage: Eukaryota; Viridiplantae; Streptophyta; Magnoliopsida; Poales; Poaceae.
GGAUCAUGAUGGGAUCUUUCUUGUGCAAGAUGGGGGUUUUCAGGAGUUGGACUGGAGGUGUAGAUUUAAAGAUGCUUUUUCUAAGAUCAUAUAUGUGUUGCUUUUCUAUCCAUGCUCAGAAUUAUAACAUAUGCAUAGUCGAGGUUGCUCUAGAUUUAUUACCUCUGCUCUAUCUAUUAUGUGUCUAUAUAUGCUUAGUAGAUUGGAUCUGAAUCACUCAUCAACACCAAGUUCAUACUAACAAUGCUAGUUGAAAUAGAUCUUGUAUUAUAAGUUCCACGGAUUGAUAAACUUUGGGGAGUACUCUGAGGGAAGAGCUACAACUGAUCCGUGCGCUUGCGGUUCACGAAUUGACGUGCUAAGAAUUGUCAACAGGGCCAAGAAGGCCCACCCGAACAAAUUUAUUCCAUCAAAGUGGGUUUAAAGAUCAAACAUAUGCCCCCAAAAUUAAGAGGCGGUGACUAGGAUACAUAUUGGCAGAAGAGAAAGGGAGCCAUAGAGGAUUUCAAAUCGCAGCACACACAAACAUUACUACUUGUC